GACGAACGCUGGCGGCGUGCUUAACACAUGCAAGUCGAACGGGAUUUAGUAAACAGAAACCUCGGUGGAAGAUUACUAAUGAGAGUGGCGAACGGGUGAGUAACGCCUGAGCAACCUGCCAAUGACAGUGGGAUAGCCUCGGGAAACCGGGAUUAAUACCGCAUAACAUCGUAGAAACACAUGUUUUAACGGUCAAAGAUUUAUCGGUCAUAGAUGGGCUCGCGUCUGAUUAGCUUGUUGGUGAGAUAACAGCCCACCAAGGCGACGAUCAGUAGCCGGUCUGAGAGGAUGAACGGCCACAUCGGAACUGAGACACAGUCCAAACUCCUACGGGAGGCAGCAGUGGGGAAUAUUGCACAAUGGGGGAAACCCUGAUGCAGCGACGCCGCGUGAACGAAGAAGGUAUUCGUAUCGUAAAGUUCUGUCCUAUGGGAAGAUAAUGACGGUACCAUAGAAGAAAGCUCCGGCUAAAUACGUG
This 478-nucleotide ribosomal RNA is filed under the name uncultured bacterium. Its description in RNAcentral is "partial 16S ribosomal RNA". It matches the Rfam family "Bacterial small subunit ribosomal RNA", at positions 28 to 507 of the family's 1533-position model. The record is from RNAcentral.